RNAcentral lists this microRNA precursor (103 nucleotides) under Marmota monax (woodchuck). The record is from RNAcentral. Lineage: Eukaryota; Metazoa; Chordata; Mammalia; Rodentia; Sciuridae.
AGUGGUAUAACUGUGUUAAAUGGUGAUUCCAUUCCUAGUUUUUUGAGGAAUCUCCAUGCUGUUUUCCAGAGUGGUUGCACCAAUUUGCAGUCCCACCAGCAAU